RNAcentral lists this RNase P RNA (250 nucleotides) under Solirubrobacterales bacterium. RNAcentral's name for it is "partial RNase P RNA component class A". It matches the Rfam family "Bacterial RNase P class A", at positions 1 to 235 of the family's 367-position model. From Rfam's summary of the family: Ribonuclease P (RNase P) is a ubiquitous endoribonuclease, found in archaea, bacteria and eukarya as well as chloroplasts and mitochondria. Its best characterised activity is the generation of mature 5'-ends of tRNAs by cleaving the 5'-leader elements of precursor-tRNAs. Lineage: Bacteria; Bacillati; Actinomycetota; Thermoleophilia; Solirubrobacterales. The record is from RNAcentral.
ACCGCAGGCCAGGCAGUCGCGGGGGUGUAGUACAGCCCUCGAGGAAAGUCCGGACAUCGCAGGGCAGGGUGGUCGGUAACGCCGACCCGGGGAAACCCGCGGGAAAGUGCCACAGAAAACACACCGCCCCACCGCCGUGGUCUCGAAGGCAAGGCGCGGCGAGGCAAGGUUGAAAUGGUGCGGUAAGAGCGCACCGGCGCCGCGGCGACGCGGUGGCCAGGCAAACCCCACCCGAUGCAAGGCCAAGCAG